AACGGACCCAUAUUGAAACCUAGUGAUAUAUGGGUUAGUGGCGGACGGGUGAGUAACGCGUGGGUAACCUGCCUUACACAGGGGGAUAACACUUAGAAAUAGGUGCUAAAACCGCAUAAGCGCACAGCUUCGCAUGAAGCGGUGUGAAAAACUCCGGUGGUGUAAGAUGGACCCGCGUCUGAUUAGCUUGUUGGCGGGGUAACGGCCCACCAAGGUGACGAUCAGUAGCCGGCCUGAGAGGGCGGACGGCCACAUUGGGACUGAGACACGGCCCAGACUCCUACGGGAGGCAGCAGUGGGGAAUAUUGCACAAUGGGGGAAACCCUGAUGCAGCGACGCCGCGUGAGUGAAGAAGUAAUUCGUUACGUAAAGCUCUAUCAGCAGGGAAGAAAUACUGACCUUACGGUCAGCAGACGGUACCUGAGUAAGAAGCCCCGGCUAACUACGUGCCAGCAGCCGCGGUAAUACGUAGGGGGCAAGCGUUAUCCGGAUUUACUGGGUGUAAAGGGAGCGUAGACGGUGCGCCAAGUCUGGAGUGAAAUGCCGCAGCUUAACUGCGGAACUGCUUUGGAAACUGGCGAACUAGAGUGCGGGAGGGGUAAGCGGAA
Molecule: ribosomal RNA, 608 nt
Filed under: uncultured bacterium
Lineage: Bacteria
Description: bacterial SSU rRNA
Rfam family: Bacterial small subunit ribosomal RNA
Source: RNAcentral